This 737-nucleotide ribosomal RNA is filed under the name Bacillus pumilus. RNAcentral describes it as "partial 16S ribosomal RNA". It matches the Rfam family "Bacterial small subunit ribosomal RNA", at positions 1 to 711 of the family's 1533-position model. Lineage: Bacteria; Bacillati; Bacillota; Bacilli; Caryophanales; Bacillaceae. The record is from RNAcentral.
CCGAAUUCGUCGACAACAGAGUUUGAUCCUGGCUCAGGACGAACGCUGGCGGCGUGCCUAAUACAUGCAAGUCGAGCGGACAGAAGGGAGCUUGCUCCCGGAUGUUAGCGGCGGACGGGUGAGUAACACGUGGGUAACCUGCCUGUAAGACUGGGAUAACUCCGGGAAACUGGGGCUAAUACCGGAUGGUUGUUUGAACCGCAUGGUUCAAACAUAAAAGGUGGCUUCGGCUACCACUUACAGAUGGACCCGCGGCGCAUUAGCUAGUUGGUGAGGUAACGGCUCACCAAGGCGACGAUGCGUAGCCGACCUGAGAGGAUGAUCGGCCACACUGGGACUGAGACACGGCCCAGACUCCUACGGGAGGCAGCAGUAGGGAAUCUUCCGCAAUGGACGAAAGUCUGACGGAGCAACGCCGCGUGAGUGAUGAAGGUUUUCGGAUCGUAAAGCUCUGUUGUUAGGGAAGAACAAGUGCAAGAGUAACUGCUUGCACCUUGACGGUACCUAACCAGAAAGCCACGGCUAACUACGUGCCAGCAGCCGCGGUAAUACGUAGGUGGCAAGCGUUGUCCGGAAUUAUUGGGCGUAAAGGGCUCGCAGGCGGUUUCUUAAGUCUGAUGUGAAAGCCCCCGGCUCAACCGGGGAGGGUCAUUGGAAACUGGGAAACUUGAGUGCAGAAGAGGAGAGUGGAAUUCCACGUGUAGCGGUGAAAUGCGUAGAGAUGUGGAGGAACACCA